Long non-coding RNA from Drosophila miranda, 936 nucleotides. RefSeq lists it as uncharacterized. The record is from RefSeq and is a predicted model, not a curated record. Lineage: Eukaryota; Metazoa; Arthropoda; Insecta; Diptera; Drosophilidae. The transcript is spliced from 2 exons.
CACUGGCAGUCUAUUCCAUUUUCUAGUCGAAAACAAACAAUCUUUUGUGUAGAACUGAAUUUUAACGAAAUUUUAGUAAAUUAGUGCGAAAUGAGUAUCGAAAACAAGACAAGUCGCACUCGUAUCUGCCAUUCUAUGGCCGAGGAUGUUGUGGCACACAUCCAAAGUGUGGGCGUGGCCUCCAAGAACGAAGUAAUCAUGGAGAUGUGCGAACUGAAGAAUCCCCGCUUUAACGACGUGGAACACCUGUGCGAAGCAGUGGACAUUUCCCUGGAGAGGGGCCUGGCGUGGGGAAUUCUGAAGCAGAGCCAUGGACAUUUCAAGAUUUCAGACGAGACCUUAAUCCCAAAAGAUACCAAAGCGCCUUUCAAUUCGCUUGUUUAGUUCUUUGGUGUGUUUAUGGUUCGUUUGGUUGGUGUUGCAUGGUGUUAUACCGGAUAAUCCCUAAAAAAUACUAGAGAUAACCAAAUUCAUUCGAGAAACUCCCCAUCUCCGGUGAAUUUUGAAUAUCUUCCAGUUGUUCUGCAUCGUCGGCACGCUGGUGCAGGCUCUGUAAAAGCUGAGAUCCACAAGAUCCUUGUGUAUCUUUCCACUAGCCUGGCAACGGACAUGGCAUCUCGGAACUGGUGCAUCGAGUGCGGUAGUCGAUGUCCCAUUUCUGGAGCCAGUUGUUGAGCUUCUCGCGUUCCUCCGGGUACAAGAAGUAGUUAGCCAUUUUGAAGCAGAUCGAAAUUUGCAAGGUGCCACGUGAACCAACUCGUGCUCUCCACUCGGAAAUGGACGUUGCUUUGACUCCUCCUGGAGGGGGGUCUGCUCCGUUCUAGGCAGAUUUUCGAUGUGUGACUUGUUUUUUAAUGCAUACUUUAUUGAAUCGUAGUUUUUAUACAAGUGCGAAGGCGAAUAAAGUGUACACGAUAAUUCCUUGGUAAAACUCUA